UGGGGAAUAUUGGACAAUGGGCGAAAGCCUGAUCCAGCAAUGCCGCGUGAGUGAUGAAGGCCUUAGGGUUGUAAAGCUCUUUUACCCGGGAUGAUAAUGACAGUACCGGGAGAAUAAGCCCCGGCUAACUCCGUGCCAGCAGCCGCGGUAAUACGGAGGGGGCUAGCAUUGUUCGGAAUUACUGGGCGUAAAGCGCGCGUAGGCGGCUUUGUAAGUUAGAGGUGAAAGCCCGGAGCUUAACUCCGGAACUGCCUUUAAGACUGCAUCGCUAGAAUUGUGGAGAGGUAAGUGGAAUUCCGAGUGUAGAGGUGAAAUUCGUAGAUAUUCGGAAGAACACCAGUGGCGAAGGCGACUUACUGGACACAUAUUGACGCUGAGGUGCGAAAGCGUGGGGAGCAAACAGGAUUAGAUACCUGGUAGUCCACGCCGUAAACGAUGAUAACUAGCUGUCGGGGCUCAUGGAGUUUCGGUGGCGCAGCUAACG
This 484-nucleotide ribosomal RNA is filed under the name uncultured Pseudomonadota bacterium. Its description in RNAcentral is "bacterial SSU rRNA". It matches the Rfam family "Bacterial small subunit ribosomal RNA", at positions 355 to 857 of the family's 1533-position model. The record is from RNAcentral. Lineage: Bacteria; Pseudomonadati; Pseudomonadota.